RNAcentral lists this transfer RNA (84 nucleotides) under Promethearchaeota archaeon. Its description in RNAcentral is "Candidatus Lokiarchaeota archaeon tRNA-Ser". It matches the Rfam family "tRNA". Rfam says of the family: Transfer RNA (tRNA) molecules are approximately 80 nucleotides in length. Lineage: Archaea; Promethearchaeati; Promethearchaeota. The record is from RNAcentral. RNAcentral also lists the same sequence under 1 other name.
GCAAGCGUCGCUUAGCUUGGUAGAGCGCUGGAUUGCUAAUCCAGUGUCCGAACGGAUGCGUGGGUUCAAAUCCCACCGCUUGCG